GACGAACGCUGGCGGCGUGCUUAACACAUGCAAGUCGAACGGAAAGGCCCUGCUUUUGUUGGGUGCUCGAGUGGCGAACGGGUGAGUAACACGUGAGUAACCUGCCCUUUACUUUGGGAUAACUUCAGGAAACUGGGGCUAAUACCGGAUAUGAGCUCCUGCUGCAUGGUGGGGGUUGGAAAGUUUCGGCGGUUGGGGAUGGACUCGCGGCUUAUCAGCUUGUUGGCGGGGUAGUGGCUUACCAAGGCUUUGACGGGUAGCCGGCCUGAGAGGGUGACCGGCCACAUGGGGACUGAGAGACGGCCCAGACUCCUACGGGAGGCAGCAGUGGGGAAUAUUGCACAAUGGGCGGAAGCCUGAUGCAGCAACGCCGCGUGCGGGAUGACGGCCUUCGGGUUGUAAACCGCUUUCGCCUGUGACGAAGAGUGAGUGACGGUAAUGGGUAAAGAAGCACCGGCUAACUACGCG
Molecule: ribosomal RNA, 468 nt
Filed under: uncultured bacterium
Lineage: Bacteria
Description: partial 16S ribosomal RNA
Rfam family: Bacterial small subunit ribosomal RNA
Source: RNAcentral